RNAcentral lists this transfer RNA (85 nucleotides) under Felis catus (domestic cat). It matches the Rfam family "tRNA". From Rfam's summary of the family: Transfer RNA (tRNA) molecules are approximately 80 nucleotides in length. Their secondary structure includes four short double-helical elements and three loops (D, anti-codon, and T loops). The record is from Rfam by way of RNAcentral. Lineage: Eukaryota; Metazoa; Chordata; Mammalia; Carnivora; Felidae.
GCCUGGGUGGCUCAGCUGGUUAAGUAUUUGACUUCAGCUCAGGUCACAAUCUCACAGUUCAUGGGUUCGAGCCCCAUGUCAGGCU